GGGCGGGGGCGAAGCUGUAGUGCAGCCGGCGUUGUGCCGCGCAUCGACGGCGGAGCUGCAGUGCAGCCGCCAUUGAUGCUGCAAUGGAGUUUUGCCGGCACUGACGUUGCUGCGUUGCAGCUUUUCCCUCCUCG
Molecule: microRNA precursor, 134 nt
Filed under: Hordeum vulgare
Lineage: Eukaryota; Viridiplantae; Streptophyta; Magnoliopsida; Poales; Poaceae
Description: miR6176 stem-loop (hvu-MIR6176)
Source: miRBase by way of RNAcentral